UUCUCUAACCAGAUUAUCUACCUCUUGAUGGCGGUGGUAAAGUUUCAUGAUAUCUGUACACAUAGUCCCUGGCAGCCUCUAUUACUCCUAACCCAUCUACAAGGAGAAAAAAACCAAAUCAUUAAUAUGACUUGGAAGAUACUUUUUCAUCUUGCUCUGGCCACAUUGUGUUUCUCAUCCCUCCCCAUUCCUUCACAGGUACUUAACUCCAACAUGCAGAACAAGGAGCAGCUCCCUGAACACAUGCUCUCUCUAGAGUCCUUCCCUUUCUAUAUAGUGUUCUUUUCUUCUGAAAUAACCUUUUUCUCCCCAGUUAAUUUCUAUAAGUCUUUCCUAACUCAACACAUACUACAGUGCACUUUUCAUUCGACCUAGUAGUAUUUAUUGGGGACCUGCUAUGUGUCAGGCACUGUUCUAGGGGUUGAGAUUAAGAGAACAAGAUCGAUCAAGUCCUUCUCUCCUGGACGUUCGAUUUUAGUUGAGAGAGACAAGAUAAUAAGCAAAGAAGAAAAAUAUCAAACAGUGAGAAGUGCUAUAUAAAAAGUUAAAAUAGGGUAAUAUAGGAGUGACUUGAUACUUUAGAUAGAGUGAUCAGGGAAAUAUCUGGUAACACUUAAUCAAAAUCUGAAUGACAAAAACAGCUGCAUUCACUGUAUGAUGAUUGUAUGUUAGGUAUUGUUUGAAGUGCUUUACAUGUGUUAGCUCACUUGAUCCUCAAAACAGCCUUUUGCAGUUGUUACCAUUAUCCUCAUUUGACAAGAAAACUGAGGCACUAGAGCCCAUGUUCUGAACCACAUGCUAAACUGCCUGCCUUAUGAAAAGACUGAGUGAAAAUGAGAAAAGAGAAUUCAGAGUAGAGAGAAUAACCACUGCAAGUCCCCUAAGGCUGGUUGGAGCUUGGCAUGUUCAAAAAAAAGAAUGCCGGUUUGGCUGCACCCUGGAGGGCAAAGGAGAGCAUGGGAAGGGGGGUGACAGAGGGAGGCAGGUUGCAGAUCACACAGGACUUGAGUGAGCAGGGAAAUUAGUUUAGAUUUUAUUCUAAGUGCUAUAGUAAACCAGUUUUGGGGUUACUGUUCUGUGACAUGGUUUAGGGGCUGCCAUGUUUGGUCUCCAUCAUACUGUUGCAAUUAGAUGGCAGCUGGGGCUGGAGGCAUCUGAAGCCUUUUUCACUUACAUUCUGGUUCUUGGGCUGGGAUAACUGAACCUGCUGGGGGCUGUCGGGCAUCUCUCUCACUGAGGAGCUUCUUCAUGUGACUUGGUUGGGCUUGCAUACAACAUAGCAAUCUCGAGCUGGUUGGACUCCGUACAUGACAGCUGUCUUCUCCUAGCAUGAGCAUUCCAGGAGACAGGAAGUAGGAGCUGCCAGUCCCUUAGAGUCUAUGUUGGGAAACUGGCACAAUGUCACUUUUGCCAUAUUCUGUUGGUCAAAAUAGUCACAGAGCCAGGUGUUAUUCCAGGGGAGGGGACUUAGAUGCCACCUCUCAGUGGGAAAAGUAUCAAAGAAUUUGUGGCCCAGCCGGGCACAGUGGCUCACACCUGUAAUCCCAGCACUUUAGGAGCCCAAGUCUGGCAGAUCACUUGAGGCCAGGAGUUUGAGACCAGCCUGGUUAAUAUGGCAAAACCCCUUCUCUACUUAAAAAAUACAAAAAUUAGCUGGGCAUAGUGGCAGACAUCUGUAAUCCCAGCUUCUUGGGAGGCUGAGGCACGAAAAUCACUUGAACCUGGGAGGUGAAGGCUACAAUAAGCCAAGAUUGUGCCACUGUACUCCCGCCUGGGCAACAGACAGAGUGAGACCCUGUCUUAAAAAAAGAAAGAAAAAACAAAUCGAAUUUGUGGGCAUUUUUAGGCUACCAGAGAUUACAAUCUUUUUUCACAUUUUAAAAGGCUCAUUCUUGCUGCUGGGUAAAGAGUGACUGGGAAAGGGCGAGAGAGGAGCAGUUAGAUUGUCAUACUUUAGGCUUCCCCAGCAUCCUGUGGGUGUCUUUAUCAAUGCGUAGCAUACAGUUUUGCAGUUAUUUGUUUUGCAUGUCUGUUUUCUCCACUGGACUGAACUUCUGAAGAUAAAGACUCUCUCUCAUCUCCAUAACCCCAAAACCUGGCAUCUCAUACUAGAUGCUUAAUAAAUUUUUUUUUUUUUUUUGAGAUGGAGUUUCACUCUUGUUGCCCAGGCUAGAGUGCAAUGGUGCGAUCUUGGCUCACCACAACCUCCGCCUACUGGGUUCAAGCAAUUCUCCUGCCUCAGCCUCCCAAGUAGCUAGGAUUACAGGCAUGUGCCACCACACCCGGCUAAUUUUGUAUUUUUAGUUGAGACAGACUUUCUUCAUAUUGGUCAGGCUGGUCUUGAACUCCUGACCUCAGGCGAUCCACCCGCCUCGGCCUCCCAAAGUGCUGGGAUUACAGGCGUGAGCCACUGCACCCAGCCAAUAAAUGUUUUAUGACUCAAAGAAUAAUUAUAAACGGAGACCAAAGCAUUACAAGUCAUAAGAAUAUACUUUUAGAUAUUUUCAUACUAAUUAUAUCUAAUUGUGAUAUAGGCACAAGAUCUAGCUUUUAAAGACUUUUGCAUUUUUCAGAUAAAAACCCUGAGUAUUGCUUUAGUAUUGUGAUCCUAUCUGAAGACAGGUUUGUUCAAUCUUAAUUGUUGUUUAUAGUAUUUUAUUACCAUUUUUUUUACUAAGAACACUGUCAAAACUUUUUAGUAUUUCUUUAGACCAUCUCAUUCAUAAAUCAACACUUACUGUUGAUGCGUGUUCUGUGUGAAACCCUCAGUGGAGGAAAUAGCAAAGAACUAGAAGUCAUGGUCUCAUUUGAAGGACUGUACUUCUAAUUCAAUAAAAAAUGUAGAAAAAAUCAUUUUUAGUAUGACCAACAUGGAGAAACCCUGACUCUACUAAAAAUAGAAAAUUAGCCGGGCGUGGUGGUGCAUGUCUGUAAUUCCAGCUACUCGGGAGGCUGAGGCAGGAGAAGCACUUGAACCCGGGAGGCAGAGAUUGUGAGCCAAGAUGGCACCAUUGCACCCCAGCCUGGGCAACAAGAGUGAAACUGUCUCAAAAAAAAAAAAAAAAAAUCAAAUCUUCUUUAUAACUGUAAGAAAAUAGUUAUCUACAACUUUUUGCUAAUCUUUCUUUUUUUUUUUUUUUGUUUUUUUGAGACAGAGUUUCACUCUUGUUGCCCAGGCAGGAGUGUAGUGGUGCAAUCUCGGCUCUCAGUCUCUCAGGGUAUCCUGAAGCAGUUUAUGUUGUUUAUACCGGCGAUGUUAAUGUCAACGGUCAACAGAUACUAGAAGGUGCUUUCAGAAGAUUUAACAUCAGAUUAAUUCACCCAGUGCAGUUUGUUUUUUUAAGGAAACGCUAUCUUGUGGAAGAUUCACUGUAUCCUCACUUCACACUGCUGGGCCAAAGUCUAGGAUCCAUUUUUCUUGGCUGGGAAGCUCUAAUGCAGUGUGUUCCUGAUGUUUACAUUGAUUCAAUGGGAUACGCUUUUACACUUCCUCUGUUUAAGUAUAUAGGGGGUUGCCAAGUUGGAAGCUAUGUUCAUUAUCCUACUAUCAGCACCGACAUGCUCUCUGUAGUGAAGAAUCAAAAUAUUGGAUUUAAUAAUGCAGCCUUCAUUACCAGGAAUCCUUUUCUCAGCAAAGUAAAGCUCAUCUACUACUAUUUAUUUGCUUUUAUUUAUGGACUUGUUGGUUCUUGCAGUGAUGUAGUCAUGGUCAAUUCUUCUUGGACACUAAAUCAUAUUCUCUCACUAUGGAAAGUUGGGAAUUGCACUAACAUUGUUUAUCCACCUUGCGAUGUGCAGACAUUUCUGGACAUUCCCUUACAUGAGAAAAAGAUGACCCCAGGACAUUUGCUGGUUUCUGUUGGCCAGUUUAGGCCGGAAAAGAAUCAUCCAUUGCAGAUCAGAGCCUUUGCUAAAUUGCUGAAUAAGAAGAUGGUUGAGUCACCUCCUUCACUUAAACUUGUCCUCAUUGGAGGUUGUCGUAACAAAGAUGAUGAACUUAGGGUAAACCAACUGAGAAGGCUGUCUGAGGAUUUAGGAGUUCAAGAAUAUGUGGAAUUUAAAAUAAACAUUCCAUUUGAUGAAUUAAAGAAUUAUUUGUCUGAAGCAACAAUUGGUCUGCAUACCAUGUGGAACGAGCAUUUUGGGAUUGGAGUUGUGGAGUGUAUGGCAGCUGGCACAAUUAUCCUUGCACACAAUUCGGGGGGCCCAAAGCUUGACAUUGUGGUUCCUCACGAAGGAGAUAUAACUGGCUUUCUGGCUGAGAGUGAAGAAGACUAUGCUGAAACUAUCGCUCACAUUCUUUCCAUGUCUGCAGAAAAGAGACUCCAAAUCAGAAAAAGUGCUCGUGCAUCUGUAAGCAGAUUCUCUGAUCAGGAAUUUGAAGUAACAUUCCUAUCAUCUGUGGAAAAGUUAUUUAAGUAAUGCCGUAUCUGUAAAAUUAAAGAUAUUUUAUAUAAACUGGUUAAACACCUUCAUAUGUAAAUAUUUUUCUAAAUUCAAUCUCAUUUGUCAAAUCAUUUUACUUUAGAAAACAGACAAGAAAAUUUCCUUUUAGAAUAAAAGGAAGUGUUGAAAAGAAAAUGG
RNAcentral lists this small RNA (4584 nucleotides) under Pongo abelii (Sumatran orangutan). Its description in RNAcentral is "processed transcript". The record is from RNAcentral. Lineage: Eukaryota; Metazoa; Chordata; Mammalia; Primates; Hominidae.